UUUCCGUAGGUGAACCUGCGGAAGGAUCAUUAUUGAAUGAAACACUUCUGGCUUUAUGCUGUUGUGCUGGCCCUUUGGGCAAUGUGCACACGGCUCUGGUCACUUGUUUCUUCUGUUCCACCUGUGCACUGCCUGUAGACACGCUGUGUCUAUGAUAUUUGUUAACACACAACAAUGUUAGUUGGCAUGUUAUAUAUAAUAAUAAAAUAUACAACUUUCAACAACGGAUCUCUUGGCUCUCGCAUCAUGAAGAACGCAGC
RNAcentral lists this unclassified non-coding RNA (260 nucleotides) under plant metagenome. RNAcentral describes it as "partial contains small subunit ribosomal RNA, internal transcribed spacer 1, and 5.8S ribosomal RNA". The record is from RNAcentral.